Long non-coding RNA from Ixodes scapularis (black-legged tick), 241 nucleotides. RefSeq lists it as uncharacterized. The record is from RefSeq and is a predicted model, not a curated record. Lineage: Eukaryota; Metazoa; Arthropoda; Arachnida; Ixodida; Ixodidae. The transcript is spliced from 4 exons.
CCAGUCUGCCGCUGGCAGCACGGUCAAGAAGGAUUUCCCCACGCCUCGGCCAAGCACCAUCCAGUCUGCCGCUGUAAGCUAAGGGCAGCACGGUCAAGAAGGAUUUCCCCAUGCCUCGUCGAAGCACCAUCCAGUCUGCCACUGUGAGCUACAGACGGACACUCCCUCCAAGGUCUGACUAGGACAUGGGCCAGACAACAGCAAGACAGCUGCUAAAUAUAUGGCAGAAGAGAUUGGUCCC